UGUGCAAGAAGGAUGGGGAGACGAUCGAUCAUUUGUUCAUUCAUUGUGAUGGUGUACGUUAGAUUUGGAACCGUAUACUUAGUUCUCAAUCUAUGGAUUGGGUGAUGCCUCGUCGUAUAGAGGACGUGAUACGGGCAUGGCGGAGAAAACUUCGUGAUAAGGAUAGCAAACUAGCAUGACACCUUAUCCCGGGAUGCAUUGUAUGGUGCGUGUAGAGAGAAAGG
Molecule: long non-coding RNA, 224 nt
Filed under: Olea europaea (common olive)
Lineage: Eukaryota; Viridiplantae; Streptophyta; Magnoliopsida; Lamiales; Oleaceae
Description: long non-coding RNA (OEUR_LNC011284)
Source: RNAcentral